AAGGAGAGGUGUUGAUCACACGGUCAACAGAUAUCGGCUGGUCGCAUUUCUUCCCAAUGAUAUCUGGGCUAUGCACAGAGAUGGGAGGCAUUAUAUCACAUGGAGCUGUAGUAGCUAGAGAAUAUGGACUGCCAUGUAUUGUAUCUGCCAGGAAUGCUACAUCAAUAUUCAAGACAGGAGAUGAAGUGAUCUUAAACGGAGCUGUUGGAACAAUGGCAAAAGUUGUUUAGAAUGGAAAAACAGACGCAAAGACGAAAAUAAAAGAAAUAUUAGCAGAAAAAAAGAAACAGGACCCCACAGCGUUACCUACUUGGGAGUGUGUAAAAUAUUGUGUAUACACACGUAUAUAUAUAUAUAUAUAUAUAUAUAUGCACGUAGUAUUUACAUCAUACUAUUCAUAUGUAGGAAUGUUUAUACACUCAUAUAACAAUAUACACUGUAGGGACAGGAUCAUGGGAUACAUUAUUUGAUAACAGGUGUCGAUUUUAAUUAUUGACUGAUAUCAAAUUCUCUUAUAUAUCUCUUAAUUAUUUAAUUAUAGUUAUUUUUAUGAAAAUUAUACAAAUUUAAGCAGAUUGGCUAUUGUAUUUUUGCAAACUUGAAUCAUGAAGUGAAACACACAGCCAGUUUGUUGCCACGUUUUCAAAUCAAGAAGAUUAUUAGUAUACGAUAUAUAGGCCCUAAUGGCUGUUAUCAUUUAUUAGCUACAUUCUCACUCCAUUCUACAUUCGUAUCAUGCAUGUGCAUAUGAAAAUUCUAGAUACUCAUCAGAUGACCAGCUGGCAUUCUGAUCGCACUUGCGUUCCUGUGGAGACGUGCUGAUACGAUAUGUUGUACCUUGUACACUGCGCCAAUACAUCAAUAUUAUAUUUUAU
Priapulus caudatus is the source of this 875-nucleotide long non-coding RNA. RefSeq lists it as uncharacterized. Lineage: Eukaryota; Metazoa; Priapulida; Priapulimorpha; Priapulimorphida; Priapulidae. The record is from RefSeq and is a predicted model, not a curated record. The transcript has 3 exons.